GUACAUGGUUAAAAAAAAUAUGUGUAAUCAUGAUAUAUAUUAUAUAUUAUACCUCACAGUGACUAUAUGUAAUUCUGUAUCAUUUAUCAUAGCUAUCAUAUACACAUAUGAACAAUUCAAAUGUAUAAGAAAUCAGAAAAAAUUAUAAAAUUAUCAAGGAUGUUUGAAAUAAGAAUUUAUAUCCACGUAUUAUAAAUCAUGGGUGUUGCUGUAAGUAUGUGGUGCUUUGAGAUGAGAGUUACAAUGGAUAUGAGACCAUCAAAAUUGACAAGCUAUUUAGAAAUUAAGCAUCCAAACAUGAAUUAAACCUCUCUCUUUUAGAGCAAAAAAGUUUGUGAACAUGUAUGAGUGUUUCAAAUUACAUGUAUUAGUCCUUUACUAGAGCUGUGCAUAUUUUGUAACUUAAUACAUACACAUACAUUGGAGGGGUGCAUGCUCAAAUUUUUAACUGAUAUGAGUGCACCGUCAAGAGCCUAGAAUCAGUUAGCAAUACCCCAUAUUCUGUUCAUUAAUGCUGUCUUCAAAACUCUUUCCUUCUGCCCAGAAUGCUCUGCUUUAGGCCCCAAUCUGACCAUUACAACAGGUUUCGGUUGGCCUCCUUGCCUCUAACUUCUUAUCUUUUCAAUUUCUUUGUAAGCAAUUGCUGUAAUUGUCUAAGGCUUAUAUUUGAUCUUGUCAUUUCCCUGCAUAAAAACUUUGGUGGUUCUCUAUUGUAGCAGAAUGAAUUCCUGGUCCCUUAACAUGUUUAAAGUUGUCUGUGAUUAGUCUAAGUCCAUUUCUUCUCCUUAUUUCUCAUUUUAUCCAUCUGUGCUAAACUACAGGCCAGGAACAUUUAGAUCUGUUGCUUUUUUCUCACUAUUUCUUUAGCUUGAAUACUCCCCCUCCCCAUACCUCAUAUUCUCCUCAUUUAAAACCUUUCUUCUCCACCCCUCCAACUUCAAGGAGGUAUAAUUAACAAAUAAAAUUGUUUAUAUUGUAGAGCAUGGUAAUAUGAUAUAUUCAUACUUUGUGAAAUGAUUACCACAAUCAGAAAAAUUUUCUCCUUUAAAGACCUGCUACAUUUUGCCUCGUCCAUGAAUUAAGCCCUGUGACUCCCUAUGGGACUAUAACUCUAUCCCUCCUCUGAUUUGUGAUAGUACUUUGUUUUUAAUCUAUGCUUAAAUAUGCAUUCAGCAUAAAGCACCCCCAAUCAGAAUAGAUAUCUUCCUUCCUGGUGCAUAUUGUGUUGUAUUGUGAAAUGAUCAGUUCUGUCUUUGGGGAUAUAUCCCACUGUGCCUUGUAAUCUAUUCAGUUAUUAUGUUUAUCUUCCUCUCCUUCAUUCCCUUCCCUUCAGAUUUUAUGCUCUGGGGCACAGGGAAUUAGUACUUUUUGUAUUAUUUGUGGGGAAAACUUGUGAAAGACAGAAAUAGACCAAGAUAUGAUGGUUGUCUUCAGUGGGAAACUGGGCAUUGUCCAGAUUAUCUGAUUCUAUCAGGUCUGAAUCUUUCAUUGUCUUUUGAGUUAUUUUACAUUGCUGUGAGUUAUAUAAUACUUAUAGUAAUGCAAAUGAUUCUUAUCCAUAGAAAUGCAAAUUGUAUCUCAUUGGGAUUCAGUUGAUUAUUGCCCUGUGGAUAUUGAGCAGUUUUGAAGUUUUACAUUUGUUAAGCAAAUUUAUUUUACCGUAGCUAAGGCCCUUAUAUAUAUGAUUCUUUGAAUUCUCUUUUGAACCAGUUGUAAUACCUUUCUGGUUCCCUCAUUAAUUAACUAAUUAAUUAUAUAAAAGUUUUGACACAUGUUCAUUUUAUAUCUGUAUGAAUGUCAUGCUAUAUCCUCUUCUAAAAAUUAUCUUUUAAUAUAGGAAUAUGCCUUUAAAUUAAAUAUUAAUAUUUCUUAAUUUCAGAUUAAAGAUCAUUUAAUGAAGAACACUGCAGAAAAUUGAGACACUUUUCUUCUUAGAAGUGUUAAGAUUAGGGGAUAGAGACAUAUUUUCCAAAGUGAAUUUGACUUGUCUGAACAGGUGAACAAUUUCCUAUUCAGGACUGAAAAUUUGUUACUAUCACAAUGAAUUUGAGAUUCGGCCUUUUUAUUUUUUGAUCAAGUUGACUGUAUGCCAAACAAAACCAAACCAAACAAAACAAAUAUCUGAUUUGUAUGUACUCAAAUAUUUUUUAAAAAAAGAUACAGAGAGUUCCCGUCGUGGCACAGUGGUUAACGAAUCUGACUAGGAACCAUGAGGUUGCGGGUUCGGUCCCUGCCCUUGCUCAGUGGGUUAACGAUCCGGCAUUGCCGUGAGCUGUGGUGUAGGUUGCAGACGCGGCUCGGAUCCCGCAUUGCUGUGGCUCUGGCAUAGGCUGGGGGCUACAGCUCCGAUUCGACCCCUAGCCUGGGAAUCUCCAUAUGCCACGGAGCGGCCCAAAGAAAUAGCAAAAACACAAAAAUAAAUAAAUAAAAAAUAAAAUAAAAAAUAAAUUAAAAAAAAGGUACAAAAGAGUAAGAAACUUUAAGGUAUUACUUAAUUUUUUUUUUAUGUUUUAGGUUUUUAGGUUGGUUUGUUUUCUUUUUAGCGCUGUGCCUGCAGCAUAUGGAAGGAAGUUCCCAGGCUAAGGGUCCAAUUGGAGCUGUAGCCACCAGCCAACACCACAGCCACAGCAACUCGGGAUCUGAGCUACAUCUUUGACCUACACCACAGCUCAAGCAACACCGGAUCCUUAAUGCACUGAAUGAGGCCAGGGAUUGAACCUGCAUCCUCAGGGAUACUAGUCGGGUUCCUAACCCACUGAGCCAAAACAGGAUCUCCGAGUUGUUUUUUGUUUUCUGUUUUUGUUUUUUUUUUUUCACUUGGAAGAUUUCACGUUUAAAAAAUUAUACUUAAAUCUCAGUAAUUAAUUGGAAGUUGUAUAAGGUAGAAGUUUUACACUUUUAAAGUAUGAAGAUUAUGGUAUCUUUAAGAUAGGAAACACAUACUGAAUUCACAGCCUGUUCACACCUGUCUUGGUCUUCAGACUGGGAAAUGCUUGGGAGUCCACCUUAGGUUUCUGGUUCUUUCUGUCUAAAUUCUUGGUUUAUCUCAAUUAUAUUCUGCUUCUCCCACCUUUUCAGCUUCUCUUCUAUCUCAUUUCCUUCUGCUACCAAUUGCAGUUUCCCAAGUAUCUGAAUUUUUGAGAAAGUUCUUCACUUCCCACCCUGAUAGAUUAAUUCACUUUUCUGUUUGGAUGAAGGUAAAAGCAGAAGUUGGGGGUUGGAUGGACAGAUUGGAGACAGGUUUUAGUAGUAAAAUUGAUAGACCAUGGAAAGAUAAGCAAAGAGAAUUGAGGGUGACUUCUCUUUCUGCCAUGAGCAACUGGAGCUUCAGGGACCACUUACUGACAUGGGCAAGACUGGAGUAGGGGCAAGCUUGGGAAAGAUUAGCAUAACAUUUUUUCAGUUUCUUCUUGUUUGCAUCAAAGUAUAUUUAGAAAUUAAAACUCAUGCAAUCCAAUACAUAUUAAAUUUUAACUUGUGAAAUUCUGCCCCAUCACACCACCCUCAAUACCCUUUCUCCAGGACAGAAAACUAUAUCUUCUACUCUAUUCACAAGUUAAGCAUUUUUUCCCCAGGUGAAAUCAACAUUUCCUAUCAAUAGUUAACAAAAGGAGAAAGGAAUGAUAGUGUAACAACUAUUUUGCCUUGAGUCUUCCUCAAAGUCUAAGACAAAUUCUCCUCUCUGUAGAAUAGUUGUUUCAAAUUAGCUGGAAAUUCAGUUCUCUGCUUUUAAGAAAUCCCUUAGGGAAGGCAAAUAUGAAUAUCUCCCAUUGUUUCUGAGGUGAAGAAUGUUAACUACUGAUCAGAUCAGAGUGGGGCAACUUUAAGGGGAGAAAAAUAAUUCAAAAUGAUUUGCCUGGUUUCAGAGUCUUCUGGCCCAAAUGGUACUGACAUUUUCAUUAAGCAGGUUUAAGGAAAACAAUAGAAGUUAAUUAACUUAGUGAUGUUUCAACUGAAAUGGCCAAAACUGCCCAAGGCCUCAGGUCAGUCUAAUGUUGUUAGGAGCACCUUGGCCUUUUACUUUACACUCUAUCACCUUUGAACAUCUAUAAACAAAUUAGCAUCGCUUUUUGUAUAAUGCUGUGUAGCUCACAGGGAAGUGUGAAAAUGUAUUAGGUAAUGUCUGCAAAGUACUUUAAAUGAUUUAUUCUUUAGCCAGUUUUUCCUAAGGGAUACUUUGUCUCACACACUUGUAAUUGCCAUCUACCUCAAUGAUGAAGAGCAAUCUUCAGCUAAACACUUAGUGGGUUGCAAGAGAUGACUCAUAGAUCUUUUUGCACACAGAACAUACACUUACAUUUCCCAUUAUGAAAUUCUGCCUUUCAAACUAGCAUAUUUUAUUUUUUUUGGUGACAUUUAGAUAUCAUUUUUGGUUUGCAGAAGUGGCAGGUAUAACUUUGUGGUUGUUAGUAAGAAGUUUUUACUAUGGGGGUAGAAGAAUGUAG
Molecule: long non-coding RNA, 4445 nt
Filed under: Sus scrofa (pig)
Lineage: Eukaryota; Metazoa; Chordata; Mammalia; Artiodactyla; Suidae
Description: lncRNA (ENSSSCG00000052328.1)
Source: RNAcentral